Molecule: ribosomal RNA, 478 nt
Filed under: uncultured bacterium
Lineage: Bacteria
Description: partial 16S ribosomal RNA
Rfam family: Bacterial small subunit ribosomal RNA
Source: RNAcentral
GACGAACGCUGGCGGCGUGCUUAACACAUGCAAGUCGAACGGUAAGGCCCUUCGGGGUACACGAGUGGCGAACGGGUGAGUAACACGUGGGUGAUCUGCCCUGCACUUCGGGAUAAGCCUGGGAAACUGGGUCUAAUACCGGAUAGGACCACUGCCUGCAUGGGUGGUGGUGGAAAGCUUUUGCGGUGUGGGAUGGGCCCGCGGCCUAUCAGCUUGUUGGGGGGGUGAUGGCCUACCAAGGCGACGACGGGUAGCCGGCCUGAGAGGGUGACCGGCCACACUGGGACGGAGAUGCGGCCCAGACUCCUACGGGAGGCAGCAGUGGGGAAUAUUGCACAAUGGGCGCAAGCCUGAUGCAGCGACGCCGCGUGAGGGAUGACGGCCUUCGGGUUGUAAACCUCUUUCAGCACCGACGAAGCGCAAGUGACGGUAGGUGCAGAAGAAGGACCGGCCAACUACGUGCCAGCCGCCGCGGUAA